RNAcentral lists this long non-coding RNA (390 nucleotides) under Equus caballus (horse). Its description in RNAcentral is "lncRNA (ENSECAG00000051615.1)". Lineage: Eukaryota; Metazoa; Chordata; Mammalia; Perissodactyla; Equidae. The record is from RNAcentral.
UGAGCCAACUGAGGAGGAGUACGGAAGAGGGAAGUGGGCUAGAAGCAGGAACACGAAGACAAGGAGACGCAGGCCAGCUGUGGUGUGGGUGUGGCUAGUGCCGGGGAACAGUCUCUGAGGUGCAGAAAGUUGGCUGUGACUCAGACAUCAUUCUGAGCUACCACUCCACACUCUGGACCCCACAGCAACCGCUGGUUGGUCCAUUGUGUUCAGGUAUUUCAACAGGAACCCUGGCAGCUCCUGAACGUCUAUGGAAAAGAGGGGAGAAGAGCACCUUCCGUUGAGAGUCCUGAUGGCCACUCGAGGCCCUGCCGAUAAUUAGUGGCAAGCUGGGACUGGCGCUCAGGGAUCUAGUGCAGGACAGUAUGGGACAGGAUUUAGGUCCCAGAA